This 439-nucleotide ribosomal RNA is filed under the name uncultured bacterium. RNAcentral's name for it is "partial 16S ribosomal RNA". It matches the Rfam family "Bacterial small subunit ribosomal RNA", at positions 338 to 795 of the family's 1533-position model. The record is from RNAcentral.
CCUACGGGAGGCAGCAGUGGGGAAUAUUGCACAAUGGGCGAAAGCCUGAUGCAGCAACGCCGCGUGAGCGAUGAAGGCCUUCGGGUCGUAAAGCUCUGUCCUCAAGGAAGAUAAUGACGGUACUUGAGGAGGAAGCACCGGCUAACUACGUGCCAGCAGCCGCGGUAAUACGUAGGGUGCUAGCGUUCUCCGGAAUUACUGGGCGUAAAGGGGGCGUAGGGGGUUUCUUAAGUCAGAGGUGAAAGGCUACGGCACAACCGUAGUAAGCCUUUGAAACUGGGUAACUUGAGUGCAGGAGAGGAGAGUGGAAUUCCUAGUGUAGCGGUGAAAUGCGUAGAUAUUAGGAGGAACCCCAGUGGCGAAGGCGGCUCUCUGGACUGUAACUGACACUGAGGCACGAAAGCGUGGGGAGCAAACAGGAUUAGAUACCCUUGUAGUC